This 378-nucleotide long non-coding RNA is filed under the name Homo sapiens (human). RNAcentral describes it as "non-protein coding lnc-DPPA3-2:1". The record is from RNAcentral. Lineage: Eukaryota; Metazoa; Chordata; Mammalia; Primates; Hominidae.
AAAAAAAAAAAGAGGCUGAACCUGCCUGCCUGUUUUCUUCCUCUCUCACCAUGUGAUCUCUUCACACUGCUCUCCUUAGCCUUCCCCCAUGAGCAGAAGUAGCUUGAGGCUGUCAUCAGAUGAAGAUGCUCAAGGUUUCUGGCCACCAUGAGAAUUGUGAGCCAAAUAAACUCUUUUUCUUUUAAAAAGAAAGAAAAAAAGAAAACACCUUUUAAAUCUCCAAUUAUAUUUGAGGCUUAUAUUAUCAUUAACUCCCCAAAGCACUAAAUCUUAGUCCUGAGAAUGUAGGAAACCUUAUAGUUUAGAAGAUACUCCUUGAGAAGAGCAACUCCAAGACACAUAAUUAUAUUCUUAUUUUAAAUACUUAUAUAAGUAAAU